AAUAUUGGACAAUGGGGGCAACCCUGAUCCAGCCAUGCCGCGUUGGUGAAGAAGGUCUUCGGAUUUUAAAGCACUUUAAGUUGGGAGGAAGGGCUUUAGGCUAAUACCCUGAUGUUUUGACGUUACCAACAGAAUAAGCACCGGCUAACUCUGUGCCAGCAGCCGCGGUAAUACAGAGGGUGCAAGCGUUAAGCGGAAUGACUGGGCGUAAAGCGCGCGUAGGUGGUUCAGGAAGAUAAGUGUGAAAUCCCCGGGAUUAACCUGGGAACUGCUUUCAUAACUGCUGAGCUAGAGUACGGUAGAGGGUAGUGGAAUUUCCUGUGUAGCGGUGAAAUGCGUAGAUAUAGGAAGGAACACCAGUGGCGAAGGCGACUACCUGGACUGAUACUGACACUGAGGUGCGAAAGCGUGGGGAGCAAACA
Molecule: ribosomal RNA, 422 nt
Filed under: uncultured bacterium
Lineage: Bacteria
Description: partial 16S ribosomal RNA
Rfam family: Bacterial small subunit ribosomal RNA
Source: RNAcentral